Molecule: ribosomal RNA, 201 nt
Filed under: uncultured bacterium
Lineage: Bacteria
Description: partial 16S ribosomal RNA
Rfam family: Archaeal small subunit ribosomal RNA
Source: RNAcentral
UACCAGCACCCCGAGUGGUCGGGACGUUUAUUGGGCCUAAAGCAUCCGUAGCCGGUUCUACAAGUCUUCCGUUAAAUCCAACUGCUUAACAGGUGGGCUGCGGAAGAUACUAUAGAGCUAGGAGGCGGGAGAGGCAAGCGGUACUCGAUGGGUAGGGGUAAAAUCCGUUGAUCCAUUGAAGACCACCAGUGGCGAAGGCGG